AGAGUGGCGCACGGGUGCGUAACACGUAUGUAACCUACCUUUAUCAGGGGGAUAGCCUCUCGAAAGAGAGAUUAACACCGCAUAAAAUCACAGAACGGCAUCGUUCAAUGAUCAAAUAUUUAUAGGAUAAAGAUGGGCAUGCGGGACAUUAGCUAGAUGGUGAGGUAACGGCUCACCAUGGCCAUGAUGUCUAGGGGAUCUGAGAGGAUGGCCCCCCACACUGGUACUGAGACACGGACCAG
Molecule: ribosomal RNA, 242 nt
Filed under: uncultured bacterium
Lineage: Bacteria
Description: partial 16S ribosomal RNA
Rfam family: Bacterial small subunit ribosomal RNA
Source: RNAcentral